RNAcentral lists this ribosomal RNA (236 nucleotides) under uncultured bacterium. Its description in RNAcentral is "partial 16S ribosomal RNA". It matches the Rfam family "Bacterial small subunit ribosomal RNA", at positions 524 to 755 of the family's 1533-position model. The record is from RNAcentral.
UACGUAGGUGGCAAGCGUUUGUCCGGAUUUAUUGGGCGUAAAGGGCUCGUAGGCGGCGUGUCGCGUCGGGAGUGAAAGCCCGCUGCUUAACGGCGGGUUGGCUUCCGGUACGGGCAUCGCUGGAGUGCGGCAGGGGAGACUGGAAUUCCUGGUGUAGCGGUGGAAUGCGCAGAUAUCAGGAGGGAACACCGGUGGGCGAAGGCGGGUCUCUGGGCCGAUACUGACGUGGAGGAGCG